GGUUAAGUGAAUAAGGGCGCACGGUGGAUGCCUUGGCACUAGGAGCCGAUGAAGGACGGGACUAACACCGAUAUGCUUUGGGGAGCUGUAAGUAAGCUAUGAUCCAGAGAUUUCCGAAUGGGGGAACCCAAUAUCUUUUAUAGGAUAUUACUUUUCAGUGAAUACAUAGCUGAUUAGAGGUAGACGCAGAGAACUGAAACAUCUUAGUACCUGCAGGAAGAGAAAGAAAAUUCGAUUCCCUGAGUAGCGGCGAGCGAAACGGGAAGAGCCCAAACCAACAAGCUUGCUUGUUGGGGUUGUAGGACUCCAAUAUGGUAGUCUGUUAGUAUAGUUGAAGGAUUUGGAAAAUUCCGCUAAAGAGGGUGAAAGCCCCGUAAACGAAAUGCUGACAACACCUAGGAGGAUCCUGAGUACGGCGGAACACGAGAAAUUCCGUCGGAAUCCGCGGGGACCAUCCCGCAAGGCUAAAUACUCCCUAGUGACCGAUAGUGAACCAGUACCGUGAGGGAAAGGUGAAAAGCACCCCGGAAGGGGAGUGAAAUAGAUCCUGAAACCGUGUGCCUACAACAAGUCAAAGCUCGUUAAUGAGUGAUGGCGUGCCUUUUGUAGAAUGAACCGGCGAGUUACGAUUGCAUGCGAGGUUAAGUCGAAGAGACGGAGCCGCAGCGAAAGCGAGUCUGAAUAGGGCGAAUGAGUAUGUAGUCGUAGACCCGAAACCAUGUGAUCUACCCAUGUCCAGGUUGAAGGUGCGGUAAAACGCACUGGAGGACCGAACCCACGUACGUUGAAAAGUGCGGGGAUGAGGUGUGGGUAGCGGAGAAAUUCCAAACGAACUUGGAGAUAGCUGGUUCUCUCCGAAAUAGCUUUAGGGCUAGCCUCGGAAUUGAGAAUGAUGGAGGUAGAGCACUGUUUGGACUAGGGGCCCAUCUCGGGUUACCGAAUUCAGAUAAACUCCGAAUGCCAUUCAUUUAUAUCCGGGAGUCAGACUGCGAGUGAUAAGAUCCGUAGUCGAAAGGGAAACAGCCCAGACCACCAGCUAAGGUCCCAAAAUAUAUGUUAAGUGGAAAAGGAUGUGGGGUUGCACAGACAACUAGGAUGUUGGCUUAGAAGCAGCCACCAUUUAAAG
RNAcentral lists this ribosomal RNA (1126 nucleotides) under Enterococcus faecalis. Its description in RNAcentral is "partial 23S ribosomal RNA". It matches the Rfam family "Bacterial large subunit ribosomal RNA", at positions 1 to 1128 of the family's 2925-position model. Lineage: Bacteria; Bacillati; Bacillota; Bacilli; Lactobacillales; Enterococcaceae. The record is from RNAcentral.